GUCUCAAUGUCUCACACAAUACUUAACGAGGGAAAAAAAUAACCAGAUGAGAUGUAGAUUUUUCUUUUAACUUUUCAUCUCUGAGGCACUAAGGAUUACGGUUUACAGGACAAUCUUUCAUUCUAAUACAUGAAAUUUGUGUACUCUCUGGAGAAGUCUAAUUAUUAAAAAUGGCCAUCAUCGAAACCAAGUCGGCCUUAUGAAUUAUACCUGGAUUGUGCCGUGUACAUAAUCCACGAGUUUCACUACAUGCAGCCUUCCAUGCCGAUUAACCCAGGGAAAAGAAGACAAACAGUGAAUUUCUUGCCGGUAACACACGAAGCACGAUGGAAAAACAGGAGGCGGAGGGAGGGGAAGCGUGAUGCCACGCUGCCACCUACUGUCACCCGGCGGACUGCGGGGAGCCCUCUCAUCCCUGAAAUAAAUACUGGACAGGAGGGACAAGAGAACAUCAGCGAGACCCUGAGAGCCACACGUCUUAACUGGUUCAAGGAUAAGAAAGGCGGCCUCGGGGCUUCCUUCCCCGGACCCUUUGCAGGGCUGCGGCCAGGGCAGGACCGCGAUGAGACAUUCCCGUGUGUCAGAGGCGUCCAACCCAGGGUGUUCUUCUGCAUCCAAAACACUUACAGUCAGGGCUUACAAUAAACACUAACAAAUAGUGGCUCUUUUAUGAUAUUUAUUUAAUAACAUAUACACAACAUUUUUAAAAAUCGCAGUGUGGUUUACCUGUACUUAACGUGGUAGGUAGAAUUAAAGAGUCCUUAAGCAGCCCAGAGCUAGAUCAUUAUGUGCAGAGUACAGAAAGGCGGUGACAAAAGGCACAGUGUGACUGUCAAGUACAAAUACGUCCUUGCCAGCACUUGGUUCAGAUAGCCAAGUCCGGACUCUCCCUCUGCAAUGCUUAGGAAGUUUCCACACUGGCAUAUAAGCAAUACAGGACUCCCAACCUGCUGGAGGCCCACCUAUUCCCACAUUCCCAGACACAUGAAGUCCUCCAAGUUGCUUUUUUUCAGUUGUCAUUUGCUGUAAAAAUUGAUAGCAUUUAUCGACAGCAAUGGAGUACAAAAGCUCUAAAAAGUACACAUUCUCUGCUGCCAUGAAUAAUCUAACAAAUUGGCUGAGCUCUGUGGGAAACCUCGGCGUGUUUGCUUAGGCUCACUUGAAGUGCAAAUAGUCAUAAGUAUUCAUGACAGAGGGUUUUAUUUUUUAUGAAACAAACAAGCUGAAAUGCAUUAUAUUGCACUCAGUCUGAAGAAAAAUGUAUUCUGCUAGCAUUGGGUUGACAGAUUUUUGCAUGUAAAAAUGCCUUAAUCCCUGUUUAAAUUAAAACUUUGGAACUUUGGCUACCAAAGGGGAAUUAUUACAGUAAAACAACCUGGAUGCUUUUUUUUUUUUUUUUUUUUUUUUUUUUUUUUGUGAGGUUUUUAUAUAAUUAUACUGGUUUCCCACAAUUAAGGCUAUGAAUAAGCUUCUAAUAAAAAACU
RNAcentral lists this long non-coding RNA (1484 nucleotides) under Taeniopygia guttata (zebra finch). RNAcentral describes it as "lncRNA (ENSTGUG00000025365.1)". Lineage: Eukaryota; Metazoa; Chordata; Aves; Passeriformes; Estrildidae. The record is from RNAcentral.